Molecule: ribosomal RNA, 405 nt
Filed under: uncultured bacterium
Lineage: Bacteria
Description: partial 16S ribosomal RNA
Rfam family: Bacterial small subunit ribosomal RNA
Source: RNAcentral
AUUGAACGCUGGCGGCAGGCCUAACACAUGCAAGUCGAACGAGUGGCGGACGGGAGAGUAAUGUCUGGGAAACUGCUCGAUGGAGGGGGAUAACUACUGGAAAAAGUAGCUAAUACCGCAUACCAUCGGAUGUGCCCAGAUGGGAUUAGCUAGUAGGUGGGGUAACGGUUCACCUAGGGGACGAUGCCUAGCGGGUCUGUGAGGAUGGCCAGCCACACUGGAACUGAGACACGGGCCAGACCCCUACGGGAGGCAGCAGUGGGGAAUAUUGCACAAUGGGCGCAAGCCUGAUGCAGCCCUGCCGCGUGUAUGAAGAAGGCCUUCGGGUUGUAAAGUACUUUCGGCGAGGAGGCGUUACUCGCAGAAGAAGCACCGGCUAACUCCGUGCCAGCAGCCGCGGUAAUA